ACAAUCAAGUAGAAUAAAAUUCUAAUGAAACAAAAACGAUAAAAAAUAAAUUGAUGCCUACCCAGUGCUGGAAGGUUAAGGAAGUUGGUGACCUGAUGAUAGGGGAGCCGGCAACUGAAGCCCUGGUGAACGGCGGGCGUAACUAUAACAAUCCUAAGGUAGUGAAAUUCUUUGUUGGGUAAGUUCUAACCCGCACGAAAGGUGUAA
This 207-nucleotide ribosomal RNA is filed under the name Malus domestica (apple). RNAcentral describes it as "rRNA MD15G0311400". It matches the Rfam family "Bacterial large subunit ribosomal RNA", at positions 1799 to 2004 of the family's 2925-position model. Lineage: Eukaryota; Viridiplantae; Streptophyta; Magnoliopsida; Rosales; Rosaceae. The record is from Rfam by way of RNAcentral.